ACAGCAGUAGCCACGGGAAAACAGAGGGUGCGAGCGUUAAUCGGAUUUACUGGGCGUAAAGCGUGUGUAGGUUGUUGUUCAAGUCAGUUGUGAAAUCCCUGGGCUCAACCUGGGAACUGCUUCUGAGACUGAACGACUAGAGUACGGUAGAGGGUGGUGGAAUUUCCGGUGUAGCGGUGAAAUGCGUAGAUAUCGGAAGGAACAUCAAUGGCGAAGGCAGCCACCUGGGCCUGUACUGACACUGAGACACGAAAGCGUGGGGAUCAAACAGGAUUAGAUACCCCGGUAGUCCCUGUCUCUUAUAC
RNAcentral lists this ribosomal RNA (305 nucleotides) under uncultured bacterium. RNAcentral's name for it is "partial 16S ribosomal RNA". It matches the Rfam family "Bacterial small subunit ribosomal RNA", at positions 505 to 807 of the family's 1533-position model. The record is from RNAcentral.